GAACCUCACUUGUGGGGGGAUUAGUGGCGAACGGGUGAGUAACACGUGAGUAACCUGCCCUUGACUCUGGGAUAAGCCUGGGAAACCGGGUCUAAUACUGGAUACGACCUUCUGGCGCAUGCCAUGUUGGUGGAAAGCUUUUGUGGUUUUGGAUGGACUCGCGGCCUAUCAGCUUGUUGGUGGGGUAAUGGCCUACCAAGGCGACGACGGGUAGCCGGCCUGAGAGGGUGACCGGCCACACUGGGACUGAGACACGGCCCAGACUCCUACGGGAGGCAGCAGUGGGGAAUAUUGCACAAUGGGCGCAAGCCUGAUGCAGCGACGCCGCGUGAGGGAUGAAGGCCUUCGGGUUGUAAACCUCUUUCAGUAGGGAAGAAGCCGGCCUUUCGGGGUUGGUGACGGUACCUGCAGAAGAAGCGCCGGCUAACUACGUGCCAGCAGCCGCGGUAAUACGUAGGGCGCAAGCGUUAUCCGGAAUUAUUGGGCGUAAAGAGCUCGUAGGCGGUUUGUCGCGUCUGCCGUGAAAGUCCGGGGCUUAACCCCGGAUCUGCGGUGGGUAGGGGCAGACUAGAGUGGAGUAGGGGACACUGAAAUUCGUGGUGUAGCGGUGAAAUGCGCAUAUAUCAGGAAGAACACCGAUGGCGAAGGCAGGUCUCUGGGCUGUAACUGACGCUGAGGAGCGAAAGCAUGGGGAGCGAACAGGAUUAGAUACCCUGGUAGUCCAUGCCGUAAACGUUGGGCACUAGGUGUGGGGGACAUUCCACGUUUUCCGCGCCGUAGCUAACGCAUUAAGUGCCCCGCCUGGGGAGUAC
This 812-nucleotide ribosomal RNA is filed under the name Arthrobacter agilis. RNAcentral's name for it is "bacterial SSU rRNA". It matches the Rfam family "Bacterial small subunit ribosomal RNA", at positions 71 to 883 of the family's 1533-position model. Lineage: Bacteria; Bacillati; Actinomycetota; Actinomycetes; Micrococcales; Micrococcaceae. The record is from RNAcentral.